CCCCCUCCCCCCCGCCCCAUCCUGGCCCCCAGCCUGCGGGUGUACCUGGACAUUGGGGCCCUCCAUCCUGCCCCCCCAUCCUGGCCCCGAGCCUGCGGGUGUACCUGGACCCUGCCCACCCCCCGCCCCGUCCUGCCCCCCAUCCUGCCCGGAGCCUGCGGGUGUACCUGGACCCUGACCCCCCCCCCCGCCCCAUCCUGGCCCCCAGCCUGCGGGUGUACCUGGACACUGGGACCCCCCAUCCUGCCCUCCCAUCCUGGCCCCGAGCCUGCGGGUGUACCUGGACCCUGCCCACCCCCGCCCGUCCUGCCCCCAUCCUGCCCGGAGCCUGCGGGUGUACCUGGACCCUGCCCUCCACCCCGCCCCAUCCUGGCCCCGAGCCUGCGGGUGUACCUCGACCCUGGGGCCCCCCAUCCUGCCCCCCAUCCUGGCCCCGGGCCUGUGGCUGUGCGGACUCCGCAUCCCCGCAUCCCCGCUCCCCCCGCUCCCGCGCAGCCUUUCAGUGCCCCCCGCGCCCCCUGCGCGCAGCCCCGCCCCGCCCCCGCGCCCCACCUGAGGUCCCCUAACGAGGCUCCAGGGCUGUUUGGAGUUUCCAGAAAUCGUCCCCGGAGCUUCCUUUGGGCCAGAAGCCCAGCGGGGCCAGGGCGGCGGCGGCCCGGGAGGCGCGGGAGCAAGGGCCUCGGGGCGCCCCGCGGGGCCCCCCCCGCCUCGGUGCUUGCGGCGUUAGGUCCCGUUCUGGGCGGAAGGGGGGCUGCCUGGACAUUUUUCCAAGAAAAAAACUGGGAAUCGUCCAGACCUCGAGCCCCCGCCCCCCGCACGUGGGAGCCCCGCGCCGCGGAGCUCGGAGCCGGGAGGGUCCCCAAGCGGGUCCCCGGGACUCGCGCGCCCGCCCCGCCCCCUCGCGGCCCCUGCCCAGGCCCCGGCCCGCCCGGAGGGAGCGCCCCCCCCGCCCCCCGCGCUGGCCCCGGGUGCACGGACCCCCCCGGGCAGCGGGCGGAGGAGGUGCCGCGGCCCAGGCGCCCAGACCGCGGAGGCCCGAGCCCGCAGCGGGGGACGUGGCCGGGCGGGGGGGGGGGGCACGGCUCUGCUCGCGGACCCGGGGGGGGGGGUCGGGGCCGGUCCCGGGGCGGCGGGGAGGCUCCUCCCGCUGGGCUGCGGGCGCCGGGCGCACGGAGGAGGCGCGGGGCGCGGGGGGCGCGGGCGGGGGCAGGGGGGCAGGGGGGCAGGGGGCAGGGGGUCCCUACCUUGCAGGCGGGCGGACGGCGGCCGCGCGCCCCUGGCGGGGCGGCCGGGCGGAGAGUCAGGACGGAGGGAGGCGGCUGCAGGCGCGGUGGGCGGGCCGGCGUCCCCGCCGAGAGGACACUCCCAUCCCGCGGCUGCGGGGGGCGCCGGGGCCGGGGCCGGGGCCGGGGCGGGGGCGGGGGCGGGGGCGGGGGGCUCGCGGCGGGGCCGGGCCGGGCGCACGUGCGCUUGCUCCUUGCGGCGCUCCCUGGGGAGGGCGCGGUGAGCAGUGCCCCUCCUUGGGAGGCUCCGAGCGCCUUUCGGGUUGCAGGGCUCGUGGGGUCCUCCGCGGUCUGGCGACGCUCCCCGGAGCCGCAGCCCGCGGACGCCGAGCCCGACCUCGCUCCCAUCCCGGGACCCCGGUGA
This 1647-nucleotide long non-coding RNA is filed under the name Canis lupus familiaris (dog). Its description in RNAcentral is "lncRNA (ENSCAFG00040022383.1)". Lineage: Eukaryota; Metazoa; Chordata; Mammalia; Carnivora; Canidae. The record is from RNAcentral.